This 253-nucleotide ribosomal RNA is filed under the name uncultured bacterium. RNAcentral's name for it is "partial 16S ribosomal RNA". It matches the Rfam family "Bacterial small subunit ribosomal RNA", at positions 524 to 776 of the family's 1533-position model. The record is from RNAcentral.
UACGGAGGAUGCAAGCGUUAUCCGGAAUUAUUGGGCGUAAAGCGUCCGCAGGUGGCACUUCAAGUCUGCUGUCAAAGACCGGGGCUUAACCCUGGAAAGGCAGUGGAAACUGAAGCGCUAGAGUGUGGCAGGGGUAGAGGGAAUUCCCGGUGUAGCGGUGAAAUGCGUAGAGAUCGGGAAGAACAUCGGUGGCGAAAGCGCUCUACUGGGCCAUAACUGACGCUGAGACGCGAAAGCGUGGGGAGCAAACAGG